Molecule: ribosomal RNA, 484 nt
Filed under: uncultured bacterium
Lineage: Bacteria
Description: partial 16S ribosomal RNA
Rfam family: Bacterial small subunit ribosomal RNA
Source: RNAcentral
AUUGAACGCUGGCGGCAGGCCUAACACACGCAAGUCGAGUGGAUGAACGGAGCUAGCUCCUGGAUUCAGCGGCGGACGGGUGCGUAAUGCCUAGGAAUCUGCCUGGAAGUGGGGGAUACCGUUCGGCCACGGGCGCUAAUACCGCAUACGUUCAGAGGGCGAAAGUGGGGGACCUUCGGACCUCACGCUAUCAGAUGAGCCUAGGUCGGAUUAGCUAGUUGGUGGGGUAAAGGCCUACCAAGGCGACGAUCCGUAACUGGUCUGAGAGGCUGAUCAGUCACCCUCACACGGGGACACGGUCCAGACUCCUACGGGUGUCAGCGGUGGGGAAUAUUGAACCAUGAGCGAAAACCUGAUCCAGCCAUGCCGCAAGUGUGAAGAAGGUCUUCGGAUUCUAAAACACUAUAAGUUGUGACGACGGGGAGUAAGUUAAUACCUUGCUGUUUUGACGUUACCAACAGAAUAAGCAGGCCCUGACUUGUUG